AAGUAGUUAAUUUUAUUAAAAUAUAAAAAUUAAAUAAUAAUUUUUCUAAAAUUUAAUGGGGUAGAAGUGAUAAGGCAAGCCUGGACGGUGAGCUUCUUUAAUGAUGAAUCCAAUUCGACGUUGCUCCUAUCAUCCAAUCAAUCUCACUGGUGACAGCUAUUGCACCUUAUUUUAUCAUUGGCCCACAUUUAUUUUUUUGGGCUCCUUAAAACAAUUAGUUAGGCAAACCAAAUUUAGUAUUUUCAAAAUCUCACCCAAUCCAUUAAAUUUGCAAAUGGAAAAGGGUAUUUAAUUUUGUUUAAUUACUUUUAUUUUAUUAACUUUUCGAAAUUACUAUUUAAUAUAUAUAUACUGA
Molecule: unclassified non-coding RNA, 355 nt
Filed under: Hevea brasiliensis (rubber tree)
Lineage: Eukaryota; Viridiplantae; Streptophyta; Magnoliopsida; Malpighiales; Euphorbiaceae
Source: RNAcentral